UUCAGCAUCGACGAAGCUUCAUCCUUGCAGGGUGGGGUGACGGUAGGUGCAGAAGAAGCGCCGGCUAACUACGUGCCAGCAGCCGCGGUAAUACGUAGGGCGCGAGCGUUGUCCGGAAUUAUUGGGCGUAAAGAGCUCGUAGGCGGUCUGUCGCGUCUGUCGUGAAAGCCCACGGCUUAACUGUGGGUCUGCGGUGGAUACGGGCAGGCUAGAGGCAGAUAGGGGAGCAUGGAAUUCCCGGUGUAGCGGUGAAAUGCGCAGAUAUCGGGAGGAACACCGGUGGCGAAGGCGGUGCUCUGGGCCUGUUCUGACGCUGAGGAGCGAAAGCGUGGGGAGCGAACAGGAUUAGAUACCCUGGUAGUCCACGCCGUAAACGUUGGGCGCUAGGUGUGGGGUUCUUCCACGGAUUCCGCGCCGUAGCUAACGCAUUAAGCGCCCCGCCUGGGGAGUACGGCCGCAAGGCUAAAACUCAAAGGAAUUGACGGGGGCCCGCACAAGCGGCGGAGCAUGUUGCUUAAUUCGACGCAACGCGAAGAACCUUACCAAGGCUUGACAUCGCCGGAAAUCCCGCAGAGAUGCGGGGUCCUUUUUGGGCCAGUGACAGGUGGUGCAUGGCUGUC
This 620-nucleotide ribosomal RNA is filed under the name uncultured Actinomadura sp. RNAcentral's name for it is "bacterial SSU rRNA". It matches the Rfam family "Bacterial small subunit ribosomal RNA", at positions 434 to 1053 of the family's 1533-position model. The record is from RNAcentral. Lineage: Bacteria; Bacillati; Actinomycetota; Actinomycetes; Streptosporangiales; Thermomonosporaceae.